RNAcentral lists this ribosomal RNA (207 nucleotides) under uncultured bacterium. Its description in RNAcentral is "partial 16S ribosomal RNA". It matches the Rfam family "Bacterial small subunit ribosomal RNA", at positions 568 to 774 of the family's 1533-position model. The record is from RNAcentral.
UUCGUAGGUGGCUUGUUAAGUCAGACGUGAAAUCCCUCGGCUCAACCGGGGAACUGCGUCUGAGACUGAUGAGCUCGAGUGCAGGAGAGGAACGCGGAAUUCCAGGUGUAGCGGUGAAAUGCGUAGAUAUCUGGAGGGACACCGGUGGCGAAGGCGGCGUUCUGGACUGCAACUGACACUGAGGAACGAAAGCCAGGGGAGCAAACG